RNAcentral lists this ribosomal RNA (253 nucleotides) under uncultured bacterium. RNAcentral describes it as "partial 16S ribosomal RNA". It matches the Rfam family "Bacterial small subunit ribosomal RNA", at positions 524 to 776 of the family's 1533-position model. The record is from RNAcentral.
UACGAAGGGGGCUAGCGUUGCUCGGAAUCACUGGGCGUAAAGCGCACGUAGGCGGCUUCUUAAGUCAGGGGUGAAAUCCUGGAGCUCAACUCCAGAACUGCCUUUGAUACUGAGGAGCUUGAGUCCGGGAGAGGUGAGUGGAACUGCGAGUGUAGAGGUGAAAUUCGUAGAUAUUCGCAAGAACACCAGUGGCGAAGGCGGCUCACUGGCCCGAUACUGACGCUGAGGCACGAAAGCGUGGGGAGCAAACAGG